RNAcentral lists this ribosomal RNA (492 nucleotides) under uncultured bacterium. RNAcentral describes it as "partial 16S ribosomal RNA". It matches the Rfam family "Bacterial small subunit ribosomal RNA", at positions 29 to 507 of the family's 1533-position model. The record is from RNAcentral.
AGUGAACGCUGGCGGUAGGCCUAACACAUGCAAGUCGAACGGCAGCACAGUAAGAGCUUGCUCUUACGGGUGGCGAGUGGCGGGCGGGUGAGGAAUACAUCGGAAUCUACUUUUUCGUGGGGGAUAACGUAGGGAAACUUACGCUAAUACCGCAUCCGACCUACGGGUGAAAGCAGUGGAUCUUCGGACCCUGCGCGAUUGAAUGAGCCGAUGUCGGAUUAGCUAGUUGGCGGGGUAAAGGCCCACCAAGGCGACGAUCCGUAGCUGGUCUGAGAGGAUGAUCAGCCACACUGGAACUGAGACACGGUCCAGAGUCCUACGGGAGGCAGCAGUGGGGAAUAUUGGACAAUGGGCGCAAGCCUGAUCCAGCCAUACCGAGUGGGUGAAGAAGGCCUUCGGGUUGUAAAGCCCUUUUGUUGGGAAAGAAAAGCAGCAGGUUAAGACCCAGCUGUUCUGACGGUACCCGAAGAAUAAGCACCGGCUAACUUCGUG